UAAUUACAUUUUGUCCAAAUGUUAUCCGUUGCCCUAUAUUCUCGAUGCUUCUUCUCUCUCUUCAUUCACCUUUCUCUCUCAAUCUUUCGACCGCUGUCAACAUGAAGAUGAUGAUCGGAGCUCCGAUUUGCAUCAAGGAGAUGAUAACUAUCUGAUUUGGGUCCUCUGUGGUCGAUGCAAAGGUCGUUCUUCAAGCUUAGCUGAAUCUGGAUGUCUUGAUGUGGCUGUGUCUCAUUUCCACCAUUUUCAGGCCGUUAAAGCUCAGAUUGAUUAGUCCGAUCCCCCUUUGUGCCCGUUCCUCCGAUUUCAAGAAGAAGAUUGGUCUCGUCUAUGGAUUUAUACUGUUCGUCCAUGGCCUUGUCACCAUGCACCUUCACUUCAGUCUGGGCUUCUUUUUCAGUAUCCUCCCCUAGGAUUUGAAAAGCAUUUGGCCAGAUCAACGACUAAAGGUUUCCCAACUGCUGAAGCUAGUGAGAAAACUGCCUCCCUUGCAAAGAAGUUGGGAGGUAAUUCGGGGAAGCUUAUCCAUGCUACGGCAAUUGAAGUCUCCUCAUUUGGCUUGAACCAAGGAUUCCAGAUUAGCGACCUCAUUUGACAGUAUGUUGAUUGAAUUUUGAUGUAACAAGCAGGGGUUGAGAUCAUUUUAACAUAGUCCUCCAAUAAAUCCAGUCUUAUUAAAAUGUGUCUUUCCUCUAUUAAUCCAAUUGUACAGCGACCCUUAAUAGAGCAUUGAUCAGGGAUUGCAUCUCUCAGUGCUUUAACAUCAAUUAUAUCAUGUGAAAACUUACCCAACACAGCAUAUUGAAGAUUCUCCUUUAAUAUCAAUUUUUUCACUUCAGACGA
RNA transcript from Lycium barbarum (goji berry), 843 nucleotides. RefSeq lists it as uncharacterized. Lineage: Eukaryota; Viridiplantae; Streptophyta; Magnoliopsida; Solanales; Solanaceae. The transcript has 5 exons. The record is from RefSeq and is a predicted model, not a curated record.